This is a non-coding RNA of Phenylobacterium zucineum, 1520 nucleotides long. NCBI's taxonomy places the organism in Bacteria, Pseudomonadati, Pseudomonadota, Alphaproteobacteria, Caulobacterales, Caulobacteraceae. The record is from Rfam.
AACAUAGUAUAAAAUUGUAAUAAAAGGAUGCCUUGAAUUUUAAAGUAAAGAGUUGUGUAAUGCAAAAAUAAGAUAUGAAUUUUUGAAAUCUUAUUACUAAGAAUAAAUUUUGUUUUUAGACAAGAAUAGUAGAGUGAAGUAAAACAUUUUAGUAACUUUUAUAAAAUCAAACGAGUUACCGUUAGUAGUGGCGAGCGAAUAUGGUUUUAAGUUCAAAACUUUGUUUGUAAAAGAAAAAUCCAAAGGAGGUUUUAGUCCCGUAUAUUUUACAAUAUCGUUUAGUUAAGCAUUGGAUUAUGUUAAAUUUUAUGCUGUGGGGAUCUACCCUCAAACUUAAAAACCUUUAAAAUAUCUAUAGUGAAAAGUACCGUAAGGGAAAGGUGAAAAAGAACUUAUUUAAGAGUUAAAAGAACCUAAAAUUUAUUGCAAAUUUCUGUUGGAGCUAUUAAGUAACAGCGUACCUUUUGCAUAAUGGACCAGUGAGUUUGUAUUUUAAGCAAGCUUAAUUUAAAAAUAGGCGUAGUUAAAUCAAGGCUUAAAAACCGUAUAAGUUUAAAGUACAAGACCCGAAGCUGAGUGAUUUAACCAUGAACAGGCUGAAAAUUUUAUGGCAACAUUAAUUGAAGGGCCGAACUCUUGUCUGUAGAAAAAGAUUGAGAUGAUUUGUGGUUAGGGGUGAAAGGCUAAUCAAACUCAGGUAUAGCUGGUUUUCUGCGAAAUAUAUUUAAGUAUAGCUUAUAAAUAAAUUAAAUAGGGUAAAGCACUAUAAAAGUAAAGGGAAUUUUUAAUUUUACUGAUCUUUUUUAAACUAAGAAUAUGUUUAAUUAUUUUUAUAAAGUCAGACUAUAAGCGCGAAGGUUUAUAGUCAAAAGGGAAACAGCCCAGAUUAUUUAAUAAGGCCUUUAAUUUAAUAUUAAGUGAAAAGAUUGUGAAAUUAACUUUGACAAUUUUAAAGUGGGCUUGGAAGCAGCCAUCUUUUAAAGAAAGCGUAACAGCUUAUUAAUCUAGUUUUUUGCGUCGAUAAUUUAUAGAGACUAAAUAUUAAGCCGAAUUAGUAGAAAUUGGUAGCAGAACGUUUUGUAAACCGUUGAAGAAUAUUUGUCAAAAUAUUUGGAGGUAUCAAAAGUGAGUAUACUGGUAUGAGUAGCUAAAAACAAUGUAUAAUCAUUGUCACCGUAAAUCUAAAGUUUUCGAUUAAACAAUAAAUGAAAUCGAGUAAACGAUCCCUAAGAAAAAUUGCAAAUGCAUAAUUUGAUGGGAAAUUAAUUAUUAAUUUAGUGACAGUAAAAAAUAAUAUUUAAUUCUUUAUUAGUUUAGUUUUAAUAAAAUUUUUUACUCAGGAAAAAGCUGUUAAUAAAUUAUCGUACUUUAAACCGACACAGGUAGAUAAGUAGAAAAUACUAAGGUGUUCAAGAUAAUUGUGUUGAAGGAACUCGGCAAAAUUGCUCUGUAACUUAGGGAUAAAGAGUGACUAUUUUUAUAGUUAACAUUAAAGAGGAAGAAGCGACUGUUUAUUAAAA